UACCCCGCUGUGAAACUAAGCAUAUCAAUAAGCGGAGGAAAAGAAACCAACAGGGAUUGCCCUAGUAACGGCGAGUGAAGCGGCAACAGCUCAAAUUUGAAAUCUGGCUCUUUCAGAGUCCGAGUUGUAAUUUGCAGAGGGCGCUUUGGCUUUGGCAGCGGUCCAAGUUCCUUGGAACAGGACGUCACAGAGGGUGAGAAUCCCGUACGUGGUCGCUAGCUAUUGCCGUGUAAAGCCCCUUCGACGAGUCGAGUUGUUUGGGAAUGCAGCUCUAAAUGGGAGGUAAAUUUCUUCUAAAGCUAAAUAUUGGCCAGAGACCGAUAGCGCACAAGUAGAGUGAUCGAAAGAUGAAAAGCACUUUGGAAAGAGAGUCAAACAGCACGUGAAAUUGUUGAAAGGGAAGCGCUUGCAGCCAGACUUGCUUGCAGUUGCUCAUCCGGGCUUUUGCCCGGUGCACUCUUCUGUAGGCAGGCCAGCAUCAGUUUGGGCGGUGGGAUAAAGGUCUCUGACACGUUCCUUCCUUCGGGUUGGCCAUAUAGGGGAGACGACAUACCACCAGCCUGGACUGAGGUCCGCGCAUCUGCUAGGAUGCUGGCGUAAUGGCUGUAAGCGGCCCGUCUUGAAACACGGACCAAGGAGUCUAACAUCUAUGCGAGUGUUUGGGUGUCAAGCCCGAACGCGUAAUGAAAGUGAACGGAGGUGGGAACCCGCAAGGGCGCACCAUCGACCGAUCCUGAAGUUUACGGAAGGAUUUGAGUAAGAGCAUGGCUGUUGGGACCCGAAAGAUGGUGAACUAUGCUUGAAUAGGGUGAAGCCAGAGGAAACUCUGGUGGAGGCUCGCAGCGGUUCUGACGUGCAAAUCGAUCGUCAAAUUUGGGCAUAGGGGCGAAAGACUAAUCGAACCACCCAAUCGGUUG
This 917-nucleotide ribosomal RNA is filed under the name Curvularia lunata. Its description in RNAcentral is "partial large subunit ribosomal RNA". It matches the Rfam family "Eukaryotic large subunit ribosomal RNA", at positions 24 to 953 of the family's 3401-position model. The record is from RNAcentral. Lineage: Eukaryota; Fungi; Ascomycota; Dothideomycetes; Pleosporales; Pleosporaceae.